Molecule: non-coding RNA, 44 nt
Filed under: Schistosoma mattheei
Lineage: Eukaryota; Metazoa; Platyhelminthes; Trematoda; Strigeidida; Schistosomatidae
Source: RNAcentral
AUCCAGACGACGAGUCCCAAAUAGGACGAAACUCGCCUCUGGAU